This 490-nucleotide ribosomal RNA is filed under the name uncultured bacterium. RNAcentral describes it as "partial 16S ribosomal RNA". It matches the Rfam family "Bacterial small subunit ribosomal RNA", at positions 28 to 507 of the family's 1533-position model. The record is from RNAcentral.
GAUGAACGCUAGCGAUAGGCUUAACACAUGCAAGUCGAGGGGCAGCAUGGUCUUAGCUUGCUAAGACUGAUGGCGACCGGCGCACGGGUGCGUAACGCGUAUGCAACUUGCCUCACAGAGGGGGAUAACCCGUCGAAAGACGGACUAAUACCGCGUACACUUGGGAUAGGGCAUCCUGACCCAAGGAAAUGAAAUUCGCUGUGAGAUAGGCAUGCGUCCCAUUAGCUAGUUGGUGAGGUAACGGCUCACCAAGGCAACGAUGGGUAGGGGAACUGAGAGGUUGAACCCCCACACUGGUACUGAGACACGGACCAGACUCCUACGGGAGGCAGCAGUGAGGAAUAUUGGUCAAUGGGCGAGAGCCUGAACCAGCCAAGUCGCGUGAAGGAUGACUGUCUUAUGGAUUGUAAACUUCUUUUAUACGGGAAUAACAAGAGUCACGUGUGGCUCCCUGCAUGUACCGUAUGAAUAAGCAUCGGCUAACUCCGUG